ACUCAAAUGAAUAGACGGGGACCCGCACAAGCGGUGGAGCAUGUGGUUUAAUUCGAGGCAACGCGAAGAACCUUACCAGGCCUUGACUUCCCGGUUAUAGGAUACAGAGAUGUAUCCGUCAGUUCGGCUGGACCGGUGACAGGUGCUGCAUGGCUGUCGUCAGCUCGUGUCGUGAGAUGUUGGGUUAAGUCCCGCAACGAGCGCAACCCUCAUCUUUAGUUGCCAUCAGUUCGGCUGGGCACUCUAAAGAAACUGCCGGCGUUAAGCCGGAGGAAGGUGGGGAUGACGUCAAGUCUUCAUGGCCCUUACGGCCUGGGCUACACACGUGCUACAAUGGUGGUGACAGAGGGCCGCUAACUCGCGAGAGUAUGCUAAUCUCAAAAAACCAUCUCAGUUCAGAUUGUAGGCUGCAACUCGCCUGCAUGAAGCUGGAAUCGCUAGUAAUCGCAGAUCAGAACGCUGCGGUGAAUACGUUCCCGGGUCUUGCACACACCGCCCGU
This 500-nucleotide ribosomal RNA is filed under the name uncultured bacterium. RNAcentral describes it as "partial 16S ribosomal RNA". It matches the Rfam family "Bacterial small subunit ribosomal RNA", at positions 899 to 1397 of the family's 1533-position model. The record is from RNAcentral.